CCUACGGGAGGCAGCAGUGGGGAAUAUUGGACAAUGGGCGAAAGCCUGAUCCAGCCAUGCCGCGUGUGUGAAGAAGGCCUUCGGGUUGUAAAGCACUUUCAGUGGGGAAGAAAGCCUUGGGGCUAAUACCCUCGAGGAAGGACAUCACCCACAGAAGAAGCACCGGCUAACUCCGUGCCAGCAGCCGCGGUAAUACGGAGGGUGCGAGCGUUAAUCGGAAUUACUGGGCGUAAAGCGCGCGUAGGCGGUCUGAUAAGCCGGUUGUGAAAGCCCCGGGAUCAACCUGGGAACGGCAUCCGGAACUGUCAGGCUAGAGUGCAGGAGAGGAAGGUAGAAUUCCCGGUGUAGCGGUGAAAUGCGUAGAGAUCGGGAGGAAUACCAGUGGCGAAGGCGGCCUUCUGGACUGACACUGACGCUGAGGUGCGAAAGCGUGGGUAGCAAACAGGAUUAGAUACCCGUGUAGU
RNAcentral lists this ribosomal RNA (464 nucleotides) under Vreelandella stevensii. Its description in RNAcentral is "partial 16S ribosomal RNA". It matches the Rfam family "Bacterial small subunit ribosomal RNA", at positions 338 to 794 of the family's 1533-position model. The record is from RNAcentral. Lineage: Bacteria; Pseudomonadati; Pseudomonadota; Gammaproteobacteria; Oceanospirillales; Halomonadaceae.